RNAcentral lists this ribosomal RNA (253 nucleotides) under uncultured bacterium. RNAcentral's name for it is "partial 16S ribosomal RNA". It matches the Rfam family "Bacterial small subunit ribosomal RNA", at positions 524 to 776 of the family's 1533-position model. The record is from RNAcentral.
UACGGGGGGGGCAAGCGUUGUUCGGAAUUACUGGGCGUAAAGGGCUCGUAGGUGGCCAACUAAGUCAGACGUGAAAUCCCUCGGCUUAACCGGGGAACUGCAUCUGAUACUGGAUGGCUUGAGUUCGGGAGAGGGAUGUGGAAUUCCAGGUGUAGCGGUGAAAUGCGUAGAUAUCUGGAGGAACACCGGUGGCGAAGGCGGCAUCCUGGACCGACACUGACGCUGAGGAGCGAAAGCCAGGGGAGCAAACGGG